RNAcentral lists this ribosomal RNA (287 nucleotides) under uncultured prokaryote. RNAcentral describes it as "partial 16S ribosomal RNA". It matches the Rfam family "Bacterial small subunit ribosomal RNA", at positions 524 to 812 of the family's 1533-position model. The record is from RNAcentral.
UACGUAGGGGGCGAGCGUUGUCCGGAAUUAUUGGGGCGUAAAGGGUUCGUAGGCGGUUAUUUAAGUCAGAUGUGAAAGGCAUAGGCUCAACCUGUGUAAGCAUUUGAAACAGAGUAACUUGAGUUAAGGAGGGGAAAGUGGAAUUCCUAGUGUAGCGGUGAAAUGCGUAGAUAUUAGGAGGAAUACCAGUGGCGAAGGCGACUUUCUGGACUUAUACUGACGCUGAGGAACGAAAGCGUGGGGAGGCAAACAGGAUUAGAUACCCCUGUAGUCCCUGAGCGGGCUGG